UAAUCGAACUCAAAUGAAAAAAGUUUUGACUACAAAGUUUUUAAUCUUGGUAACCACACUACAACUUUUGUAUGGAACAUGUCUUGGCCAUUUGAGAAUGUUUGAAAAUUUCAGAAAUCUGAGUCUCAAAAUAUCUAAAUUUAAAACAAAACAUUGAGACUCCAAAUUACUUCGAAUCAACAAUUUAUCAACAAAAAACUUGUAGAUCAGGUCACCACUGCAACUUUUGUAUUAACCAUGCAAAUAUUGGAGGUCAUUUGGAAAUUCCAAAAUUUGAAUUUUAACAUCUAUCAACUUAAAAUACAUGUUUAGGGCUCUAAACAGCUUCAAACCAUAAACUUUCCAACUACGAAGUUCUAUAUUAUAUUCUUAAGCACAACUUUUAUUUAUACCAUGUUUACAUCUAAGGUUGUUUGAAAUUGUAAAUAGUUUCAGAUAUGAAACAUCUCCACUACAAAAGUUGUAGAUCCCAUCAAGGGCUACAAUUUUCAUAUAAAGUUUGUCUUCUUUAGGGUUUUUAUGGAAAAGUUAUGUAACGUCUUUUUGGAUGCAUCUAUUUCUAGAGGGGGAUCUCUUAACAUGCCCAUUGCUGUUAAACGAUUCUGUGGGGCUGACACUUAGAACAUCCGCCUCUGCUAAUAAUAAUGAUUCUUAGAGGCAGACAUUUCUAUUAAUCAAUUUACAGAGGUAGACAACUAGACAUCCUAAGAUUAAUAGAGGAAGUAGCCUUAGGAUACCACUUCUGUAAAUGAUUAAUAACGGCUUGCUUUUACCUGAAGGCCGCCUAGCAUUUUAUACAGAGGGUCCUUAAAUGUGCCCAGCUCUGUAUUAAUCAGAGAGGAUGUCUUCUAAAGUCCUUUUAUAGGAACACCGCCUAGCAGUUUUAUACCUACACCAAAGUUUUAGUUCUUCACACAAUCAACAAUUUUAUAGUGAACAUUUUUUAAUUUGUGAUAGUUUAGGGGCCUAAAUCUGCCUUAGAAUCCUUUCAGAUAUAUUUAAAAUAUGUUUUCAGUCCCACCAAAGCUGUAAAAGAAAUAUUCUCCUAUUGAAUCUCUAGCAUUCUUGUAGUGGGACAGAAAGGAAGGCUCGCACUAGGGUAGAGAAUUAGUUUCAAAUCCAAGGAAAUGUACUAACAUGUAUUUUCCUUGAUAAAUUGAGUUACUUAUGAAUCCUAGCGUGCCAGUGUGGUUCCUUGGUGGGCUUAAGUUGACUGUAUGGCCGAAUCUCGAAAAAUGUUUUAUAGAGCGUUGCCUCUCCUAAGGCAGGCACCUCUGAACAUAGAUAUAUAUUGGUAAGUUUUAGGAUCCUGCUUCUGUAUACAAUUUUCAUAGGUCAAUCCUUUGCCGCUUCUAUAAAGGAACCAGUUCCACAGACCUAGCUCCAUAAUCCAGUUUUGACCGUCUUUGUAAAUCACUUAUUUAACAAAAUGCAGGUACAGGGUGGUUGGAUGUAAAUCCUAGUAUUGAUGGUUGCUUGCAAUCCAUUCAGGAUGUCCUCUAUAUAUACUUCUUGUGAGGCCCGAUAGAAGCCUAAACUUCGUCAUACAUAUAUAGAGGUAUAUAUAAAUCUUGCCAUAUGGUGUCAAUUUAUUAAAUAUCAUCGCGAGAGCUCUAAAUUCGACUAGAUACGAAUUCGGGUUUCCAUUACAAGAGCUCUAGUUGAAACUAACGCAGCAUGAGACUGGAUGAGAUACCAUUGGGUAUGAGAGGCACCGGGAACUGUGAUUUCCAACGUACAUCUCCAGCAUGGUCUUUGAGACUUUGACAUCUCCAGCAUGGUCUUCGACGUUCAGUCGUUGUGGUCUGACAAAGAAAUGAAGGCACUGGCUGGUUGUUGCAGGAUAGAACUAACUCAAGUCCCUCCUGUGCGCUGUUGCUUGGAGUCCUAGGAUGUUUCUCCUUAGGUGUUAUAUGGAGCUCGAUCGGGUAAGCCUUCAUCAACUAAUAUAAUGGAUGGUACGUGGACAUUUCUCUCUUCUGUGAACCACAACGGCUGCCCAAUGCUCACUUGUAGCUAGCUGAGGAUGGUUCCAGGAAAUUGCUAGUUUCUUUUUGAAGUUUAUCAUCUUUCAUAAUGACUAUUAGUGAAGCUAUUUGUGAACCUGUGCACUUGUGCGGGCUUGUUUAUGAAAUUUUAAAUUAUUUAUAACUAUGAUUUUUUUGAAGUAAGAUGGAAUGUCUUGAAUAGAGAUGAAUCAGCUUUUGCGAGGUAGUUAAUCCAUUAGCUGGAAUUAUCUUAAGUAACACUAUGGAAGCACUUUAGGAGGAAGCAGAAUGCAUCCUUCGCCUUAGCUCGAGGGAGACACGUUGGUUAUAGUCACAUGUUAUCAGCAAUUAUACCAUGAACUCUUUUGGACCAAAUAAAAGGGUCUUCAUGUAGAAAUCAAAAUGCCACAAUGAAAGUGCCCCCGUUUUCCCUUCCAAUUGUUCUGUUCAACGCCUUACCCUUUUUUCAUUUUUCUUAGCACAAGGCUCUCUCUGCACUAGUUCAGGGUUAAUUUUCCUUACCGAGCAAGGGAAAAAGCUCGAGCUAAGGAGAAGAGAGCCUCUCUCACCACACUAUUUCAUUAGAUCUAUAAGAGAAACAGACGUGUGGGACAGGAUGUGUGCACCACUAGGAACG
Molecule: long non-coding RNA, 2625 nt
Filed under: Sorghum bicolor (sorghum)
Lineage: Eukaryota; Viridiplantae; Streptophyta; Magnoliopsida; Poales; Poaceae
Description: long non-coding RNA (SBIC_LNC009665)
Source: RNAcentral